This 275-nucleotide ribosomal RNA is filed under the name uncultured bacterium. RNAcentral describes it as "partial 16S ribosomal RNA". It matches the Rfam family "Bacterial small subunit ribosomal RNA", at positions 338 to 605 of the family's 1533-position model. The record is from RNAcentral.
CCUACGGGGGGCAGCAGUCGAGAAUAAUUCACAAUGGGGGAAACCCUGAUGGUGCAACGCCGCGUGGAGGAUGACGGUCUUCGGAUUGUAAACUCCUGUCAUCCGGGAGAAAGACCUGGGAGUGAAUAGCUCACAGGGUUGAUAGUACCGGAAGAGGAAGGGACGGCUAACUUCGUGCCAGCAGCCGCGGUAAUACGAAGGUCCCAAGCGUUGUUCGGAAUCACUGGGCGUAAAGGGAGCGUAGGCGGUUUGGUAAGUCAGAUGUGAAAUCCCGG